This 468-nucleotide ribosomal RNA is filed under the name uncultured bacterium. RNAcentral describes it as "partial 16S ribosomal RNA". It matches the Rfam family "Bacterial small subunit ribosomal RNA", at positions 28 to 507 of the family's 1533-position model. The record is from RNAcentral.
GACGAACGCUGGCGGCGUGCUUAACACAUGCCAGUCGAACGGUGAAGCUCCAGCUUGCUGGAGUGGAUCAGUGGCGAACGGGUGAGUAACACGUGAGCAACCUGCCCCUGACUCUGGAAUAAGCGCUGGAAACGGCGUCUAAUACUGGAUACGAGAAGGGUCCGCAUGGGCACUUUCUGGAAAGUUUUUCGGUUGGGGAUGGGCUCGCGGCCUAUCAGCUUGUUGGUGAGGUAAUGGCUCACCAAGGCGACGACGGGUAGCCGGCCUGAGAGGGCGACCGGCCACACUGGGACUGAGACACGGCCCAGACUCCUACGGGAGGCAGCAGUGGGGAAUAUUGCACAAUGGGCGAAAGCCUGAUGCAGCGACGCCGCGUGAGGGAUGACGGCCUUCGGGUUGUAAACCUCUUUCAGCAGGGAAGAAGCGAAAGUGACAGUACCUGCAGAAGAAGCACCGGCUAACUACGUG